CGAUCUUACUGGAACACAAGUUUUAUAUUGAUAAACUUGUGUCGCAGUAAGAUACU
Molecule: microRNA precursor, 56 nt
Filed under: Parasteatoda tepidariorum (common house spider)
Lineage: Eukaryota; Metazoa; Arthropoda; Arachnida; Araneae; Theridiidae
Description: microRNA pte-mir-11949 precursor
Source: miRBase by way of RNAcentral